GAUGUAGAUGUGAUGAUUAUCUUCAUGUCUCUUCUCUGACUGAUGCUGGAGAGAACAUUUAUCUAUCUGAUCUCUUCUCAUCCACAAAUAUGACAUC
Pygocentrus nattereri (red-bellied piranha) is the source of this 97-nucleotide small nucleolar RNA. Lineage: Eukaryota; Metazoa; Chordata; Actinopteri; Characiformes; Serrasalmidae. The record is from Ensembl.